UACGUAGGUGGCAAGCGUUGUCCGGAUUUACUGGGCGUAAAGCGAACGCAGGCGGGCCUUUAAGUAGGACGUGAAAGGUUGGAGCUCAACUCUAACACUGCUCCCUAUACUGGAGGCCUUGAGUUUCGGAGAGGAAGACGGAACUGCAGGUGUAGCGGUGAAAUGCGUUGAUAUCUGCAGGAACACCAAUGGCGAAAGCAGUCUUCUGGACGAAUACUGACGCUCAGGUUCGAAAGCCAAGGUAGCAAACAGG
Molecule: ribosomal RNA, 253 nt
Filed under: uncultured bacterium
Lineage: Bacteria
Description: partial 16S ribosomal RNA
Rfam family: Bacterial small subunit ribosomal RNA
Source: RNAcentral